This 629-nucleotide long non-coding RNA is filed under the name Capra hircus (goat). Its description in RNAcentral is "lncRNA (ENSCHIG00000001760.1)". Lineage: Eukaryota; Metazoa; Chordata; Mammalia; Artiodactyla; Bovidae. The record is from RNAcentral.
AGAAAAUUGUCUAAGAAUGCUAAAAAUGCAAGGGCUCCUUUUGGAUGCCUUUACAGACUCAGAGCCAACAUGCCUCCAUCUAAUCCCAAUUCAAUUCACCCAUUUAAAAUCCAGCUCAGUCAGAUGGUCUUAGCUCCAAACUUUCACUUUACUACAAAUUUACUCAGAAAUUAAUUUGGAAAAAGAGACGGAUUCUUUACCACUGAGCUACCAGGGAACCCCUGGAAUGUGUUUUUACCAUGUGGAAAUCAGCGUUUGUGACUACUCCUCAGAUCCUACAUUCAAGCAUCGGUCCAGACACGGAGUGUCCCCCAAGUGUCGCCUCUGCAGGCACAUCGUUGCAGAUGGUGGGCAGAUAACCUGGAGCAAAGCUCAGCCUUGGAAUUCCUGUGGCUUCGUGAAGCUCUGAGAAGAAUUAAACAUUAAGGACAUUUAUGACCUGUAAAAUGUAUCCUUUAGGGGCUGGACCUGCAACUUUGGGGCAAUAAUUACAUGUGAGAGCAAAAUACAAAGAACACAGCUUGGAUGCAGUGCCUCUGAGCACUCCAGAAAUGAAUAGCGAUUUUAAUCAGGCAUUUAAUCAAACAUUGGGCAAUUAUCCAAAGUAUUUGCCCCUUUAUUCCACCGCC